GGUCUCGUGGUGUAAUGGUAGCACAAGGGAUUUUGGUUCCCUUGGCCUAGGUUCGAAUCCUGGCGAGACUA
This 71-nucleotide transfer RNA is filed under the name Akkermansia sp. RNAcentral describes it as "tRNA-Gln". It matches the Rfam family "tRNA". From Rfam's summary of the family: Transfer RNA (tRNA) molecules are approximately 80 nucleotides in length. Their secondary structure includes four short double-helical elements and three loops (D, anti-codon, and T loops). Further hydrogen bonds mediate the characteristic L-shaped molecular structure. tRNAs have two regions of fundamental functional importance: the anti-codon, which is responsible for specific mRNA codon recognition, and the 3' end, to which the tRNAs corresponding amino acid is attached (by aminoacyl-tRNA synthetases). tRNAs cope with the degeneracy of the genetic code in two manners: having more than one tRNA (with a specific anti-codon) for a particular amino acid; and 'wobble' base-pairing, i.e. permitting non-standard base-pairing at the 3rd anti-codon position. Lineage: Bacteria; Pseudomonadati; Verrucomicrobiota; Verrucomicrobiia; Verrucomicrobiales; Akkermansiaceae. The record is from RNAcentral.